GACGAACGCUGGCGGCGUGCCUAAUACAUGCAAGUAGGACGCACAGUUUAUACCGUAGCUUGCUACACCAUAGACUGUGAGUUGCGAACGGGUGAGUAACGCGUAGGUAACCUGCCUAUUAGAGGGGGAUAACUAUUGGAAACGAUAGCUAAUACCGCAUAACAGUAUGUAACACAUGUUAGAUGCUUGAAAGAUGCAAUUGCAUCGCUAGUAGAUGGACCUGCGUUGUAUUAGCUAGUAGGUAGGGUAAAGGCCUACCUAGGCAACGAUACAUAGCCGACCUGAGAGGGUGAUCGGCCACACUGGGACUGAGACACGGCCCAGACUCCUACGGGAGGCAGCAGUAGGGAAUCUUCGGCAAUGGGGGCAACCCUGACCGAGCAACGCCGCGUGAGUGAAGAAGGUUUUCGGAUCGUAAAGCUCUGUUGUAAGUCAAGAACGAGUGUGAGAGUGGAAAGUUCACACUGUGACGGUAGCUUACCAGAAAGGGACGGCUAACUACGUGCCAGCAGCCGCGGUAAUACGUAGGUCCCGAGCGUUGUCCGGAUUUAUUGGGCGUAAAGCGAGCGCAGGCGGUUUGAUAAGUCUGAAGUUAAAGGCUGUGGCUCAACCAUAGUUCGCUUUGGAAACUGUCAAACUUGAGUGCAGAAGGGGAGAGUGGAAUUCCAUGUGUAGCGGUGAAAUGCGUAGAUAUAUGGAGGAACACCGGUGGCGAAAGCGGCUCUCUGGUCUGUAACUGACGCUGAGGCUCGAAAGCGUGGGGAGCGAACAGG
Molecule: ribosomal RNA, 773 nt
Filed under: Streptococcus anginosus
Lineage: Bacteria; Bacillati; Bacillota; Bacilli; Lactobacillales; Streptococcaceae
Description: bacterial SSU rRNA
Rfam family: Bacterial small subunit ribosomal RNA
Source: RNAcentral